UUUGUAGCUCAGUUGGUAGAGCAUGGCACUUGUAACGCCAGGGUCGUGGGUUCGAUUCCCAUAUGUAAAA
Non-coding RNA from Salmo salar (Atlantic salmon), 70 nucleotides. The record is from Rfam. Lineage: Eukaryota; Metazoa; Chordata; Actinopteri; Salmoniformes; Salmonidae.